RNAcentral lists this unclassified non-coding RNA (960 nucleotides) under Hevea brasiliensis (rubber tree). Lineage: Eukaryota; Viridiplantae; Streptophyta; Magnoliopsida; Malpighiales; Euphorbiaceae. The record is from RNAcentral.
AGGGGGAGAAUCAAAAUUUGGGGGUUUGGAAAAUAGACACUGGGGAGGGAGAAUCUUCAAAGCCCAACUUAGAAUCCAACCAUUUUUUAUUUUUCUGGUGAAAUCCUUCAAAUUUUGUGGUGCUUUCCAUCACCAAGUCUUUACCUCUUCUUCUUUACUCCCUAAAUUGUGGGAUUCUUGAUUUUCUCCAAUUGAAAGCAGCAAAAAUUAAAGGAGGAAUUCAGGGGCAGCAACUAUCCCUUGUCACCAGCAGCCAUUCUGACUCCAACCGUACCUCCCAUCAGCUCCCUCAUUUCCUUCAGCUACUAGUCAUAUUCCCUCAAGCCUCAAUUUCAGCUCUUAUUUGUGUACAGUAGGGAAAAGCGAAACAGGAGAUCAAAACUUUGCAACUUCAACUCUGGCAAAAUUUACUCUUCUAUCAACCUCACUAGUGUUUUUGAGAAAUUUUCAAGCGCUUUUGACGGGUAUUUGGCAAAGGUAAACCUACAUAUAUGGUUUUUAGGCUGUGAUAAUUUUAUAUUCAGUAUUAUUGGGAUGGAUUAAAUUGAAAUUUAAUUGAAGGAAAAUUAAUUGGGUUGUUAUAAAGUUAACUUGCACUUGGUGAAAUUCUGAGUAAUUUAAUGAUUUAAAUUGUAUGAUGCUAUGUAUGGAAGGGGAUUGGAUGAUGAUUUAAUAUCUUGGAGGAUAAAUGUAAAAAAGGGCAUUUUAAACUUUGAAAUAGUUUAGUAGCCUAUUGAGUUCCUAUUUAUUUUAACGAGAUCUUGAUUUGCUUAUAUUUCAAAACUUUUAAUAAUCCUUGUGCAGCGCUUGCUGCACUCUAAGUGCAGCAUCAAGCUACAACUCUCGCACAAGUGUAGCGGUUCUAUGCACCAUAUUCUCUUUAUAUUGAAUCAAUCUGAUAUACUCCUUUUAUUUCUUAAUUUUCUUGCUGUGAUACUCUUUUUAGUUAUUCAUUUAUUA